GGGGGGAGGCCGGAUCCUGGGCUGUGUCCCGGCGCCCUGUGCUCCGGGGCCUGCGCUGUUGGAUUCGUGCUCCCUGCUGGGCAGCCCCCU
Molecule: microRNA precursor, 90 nt
Filed under: Canis lupus familiaris (dog)
Lineage: Eukaryota; Metazoa; Chordata; Mammalia; Carnivora; Canidae
Description: mir-8799 microRNA precursor family
Rfam family: mir-8799 microRNA precursor family
Source: Rfam by way of RNAcentral